CUAUUACACCCAUACUACCAUCUCGAACAGAUGUGGCAAAACAGGUAGAUGAAGAGUUAGUACAACGUCUGAUUCAACAAUUAGAGCAAGUGACACAAGACGGUUUAGCAAAAGAUAGGCAAAUGGAUGAUUUGAGACAACAAAUGACAGAUCUACAGAAGGCACUGAAGGACGAGCAAUUGCAGAGAGAACAGGCAGUUGCUGGAGAAAGAAGGGAGAAAGAGCAUGCAGUUGCUAGAGAAAGACGAGAGAAAAAAAGGCAGUUGCUAGAGAGAGAAGGGAGAAAGAAGAGCUACGGCGACGAUUACAACGAGAGCAAGAAGUAAACACGACAUUCACAAUGAUUUCAAUGAAGCUCGACAAAAAAUUGAGCAAAUGAGUGUAGAGAAGGAAAAUGUUCAGCGAUUACUAAAUGAAGCACAAAUAGAAAAGCUAACAUUGUAGAGCUGCUUUCAGAUUCCGAUGCUGCAAUUGAACGAUACAAGCAAGAACGAGAAAACGAAGUUUUUAAGAUUCCUUCACGUGACAUUCGAUUGACUGGCACAGAACUAGGACGUGGAUCAUAUGGAGCUGUUUAUGUUGGAUAUUGGGAUGGGUGUCCUGUUGCUGUCAAAUGUUUGUAUGAUGAUUUUGGCUGAUGUUGAACGAUACGUUCAAUUUGUGCAACAAGAAGCGUCUGUAGCAUGGAAGAUACAUUAUCCCAACAUUGCUGGUGUUUGUGGUUUCACUCUGGAGAAAGAAGUCAAGAAGGCAUGGGUUAUCAUGGAGUUACAGAGUGUCUCUGUUUCUAGCGUGAUCGAUACAUGUCAAUGAGAUGCUGCACCUCUCACUUUACGAGAAAAAGUCGACAUGGCACAUGAUUCUUUGUGUGGACUGGAUCACAUUCACUCCAUGCAACCCAUGGAGGUUCUCCACAGUGACAUCUGCCCAAGGAACAUCCAGGUAACUGCAGCGAUGAGAGCCAAACUGGGUGAUCUAGGAGCCGCUCGUUUUCAAGAUACUAAGCUUUCAGCCGGCCUUCUCAGUCCAGAAUACACAGCAACGGAGAGAUUUGAUGCUUCAACUCUACCAAAAAGCAAGGAGACUGACAUGUGCAGUCUGGGAGUGACCCUAUGUGAGCUGUUCACUGCUGUUACUCUAGACCGCAGAAAAAGAAUUAAUUAAGUCUUACUCGUCCGUCAGCUAAAUGUCCGUUCCUUAUGUAAGCACUUGAUGAGAGAUAAUCCUGCCACACGACCAACAGCAGCUGAAGCUCGCAGAAUCAUUAGUUGUAUUCGUGAUACAGACGAAUAUACAUCAUGUCCACCUAAACGAAUGGUAAAGGGUAAGAUGGAUGGAGUGGCUGAUGUCACUCUUGUUCAUCCCAAUUGGUGAUGUUGACAUGUCAUCAAACCAUGUGGUUGUUUUAUCUUUUACUUGAUAUCAUUUCUGUGUUUGUAGAAGAGAAUUCCUUAGCAAUAGCAAUGAGCUUAGCUCUGGUUUUGCACGUUGUAUUCUCGAAUUGACCAGACAAUGUCGAAGUAGUAUUUUUCAGUAUUGAUAUUGUUAAUUGGAAGGUUUGAUGUAUACACUUUGUCUACUGCACUUAUGACCUGUUGUUCAAAUUGA
This is a long non-coding RNA of Corticium candelabrum, 1608 nucleotides long. RefSeq lists it as uncharacterized. The record is from RefSeq and is a predicted model, not a curated record. The transcript is spliced from 3 exons. Lineage: Eukaryota; Metazoa; Porifera; Homoscleromorpha; Homosclerophorida; Plakinidae.